GUUUAGUACUACUAUUAUGGAAAGUUUAGUUUCAAAACAUGUUCCGUCUCUGUGAAUCGAGUCUAACUGGAGUCUUGUUUGUUUUUAUUUUAUUCUUUUCUUGUUUGUUUUUAUUUUAUUCUUUGUCUAAACCGAAGAUAGGGAAUUAGAUGAUUCAACUGUUGAUUGAUUUGUUUGAUGUUAAAGACAUUUAUAUAUAAGUAUACUUAUAGUAUGGGUUUGUUAGCCGGAUACAAGGAAGUACUUCUGUAUCGGCCUAUUUGUGUGGAGAUUACGAGGCGUACAUGGAAGCACUUAUGUACCACGU
Molecule: long non-coding RNA, 307 nt
Filed under: Brassica napus (rape)
Lineage: Eukaryota; Viridiplantae; Streptophyta; Magnoliopsida; Brassicales; Brassicaceae
Description: long non-coding RNA (BNAP_LNC021718)
Source: RNAcentral